AUGAAGAUGCUGGUGUUGGUGUACUCGGCGAUCGCCGCCGCCCGCUUGACAAGAUCACCCUCCACCGCCACCAGCUCCUCCUGGGCCUUCUGUCGAAACGUGGUCAAUUGGGCUAGAUUUAGCCCAGGGUACCACGCCUUGACAAACUCCAAGGCCCGGCGUGCUCCAGCCCGGGCCGAGGAGCCCUUCCAGGCCUCAAGACGGUCGGCCGCCACCUCCAGCCAGUCGGCAGUCCGACUGGGAGUGCGCGGUGCCGGCAUGUCCGGCCACAGGGCGGAAAUGGCCUGUGCCCCAAUGCGCUGA
RNAcentral lists this ribosomal RNA (303 nucleotides) under Triticum aestivum (bread wheat). RNAcentral describes it as "partial small subunit ribosomal RNA". The record is from RNAcentral. Lineage: Eukaryota; Viridiplantae; Streptophyta; Magnoliopsida; Poales; Poaceae.